UCGGGAAUUUUGGGCAAUGGGGGAAACCCUGACCCAGCAACGCCGCGUGAAGGAUGAAGUAUUUCGGUAUGUAAACUUCGAAAGAAUAGGAAGAAUUAAUGACGGUACUAUUUAUAAGGUCCGGCUAACUACGUGCCAGCAGCCGCGGUAAUACGUAGGGACCAAGCGUUGUUCGGAUUUACUGGGCGUAAAGGGCGCGUAGGCGGCGCGGUAAGUCACUUGUGAAAUCUCUGAGCUUAACUCAGAACGGCCAAGUGAUACUGCAGUGCUAGAGUGUGGAAGGGGCAAUCGGAAUUCUUGGUGUAGCGGUGAAAUGCGUAGAUAUCAAGAGGAACACCUGAGGUGAAGACGGGUUGCUGGGCCAACACUGACGCUGAGGCGCGAAAGCCAGGGGAGCAAACGGGAUUAGAUACCCCGGUAGUCCUGGCCCUAAACGAUGAAUACUUGGUGUCUGGAGUUUUAAUGCUCCGGGUGCCGUCGCUAACGUUUUUAGUAUUCCGCCUGGGGAGUACGGCUCGCAAGAG
RNAcentral lists this ribosomal RNA (524 nucleotides) under uncultured Acidobacteriota bacterium. RNAcentral's name for it is "bacterial SSU rRNA". It matches the Rfam family "Bacterial small subunit ribosomal RNA", at positions 355 to 894 of the family's 1533-position model. Lineage: Bacteria; Pseudomonadati; Acidobacteriota. The record is from RNAcentral.